AUCUUUGCGCUUGGGGCAAUGACGCAGUUAGUGAGGUGAAACCGAGACGCGUCAAUUGCUGGUUGAAAACUAUUUCCAUAUCCCGAGGAGUCCGUGAAGCAUCUGCACGCUAAUUGUUCUCUCAUGAUACUUCUU
Molecule: small nuclear RNA, 135 nt
Filed under: Marchantia polymorpha subsp. ruderalis
Lineage: Eukaryota; Viridiplantae; Streptophyta; Marchantiopsida; Marchantiales; Marchantiaceae
Description: U4 spliceosomal RNA
Rfam family: U4 spliceosomal RNA
About the family: U4 small nuclear RNA (U4 snRNA) is a component of the major U2-dependent spliceosome. The structure of U4 snRNA from yeast and human has been reported.
Source: Rfam by way of RNAcentral